RNAcentral lists this ribosomal RNA (888 nucleotides) under Morchella sp. Mes-9. RNAcentral's name for it is "partial 28S ribosomal RNA". It matches the Rfam family "Eukaryotic large subunit ribosomal RNA", at positions 49 to 959 of the family's 3401-position model. The record is from RNAcentral. Lineage: Eukaryota; Fungi; Ascomycota; Pezizomycetes; Pezizales; Morchellaceae.
GGCCGCGGGAGGAGACCAGCAGGGAUUGCCUCAGUAACGGCGAGUGAAGCGGCAAAAGCUCAAAUUUUAAAGCUGGCACCUUCGGUGUCCGCGUUGUAAUUUUGUGAGGCAUCUCCGGGUAGGGCGCCGGCCUAAGUUCCUUGGAACAGGACGUCAUAGAGGGUGAGAAUCCCGUGCUUGGCUGGCUGUCCCCGUCCAUGUGAGGUGUCUUCGACGAGUCGAGUUGUUUGGGAAUGCAGCUCAAAAUGGGUGGUAAAUUUCAUCUAAAGCUAAAUAUUGGUGGGAGACCGAUAGCGCACAAGUAGAGUGAUCGAAAGAUGAAAAGCACUUUGAAAAUAGAGUUAAAAAGUACGUGAAAUUGUUGAAAGGGAAGCGCUUGAGACCAGACUUCGGUGGGGAGUGAUCAGCUGUCCUUCUGGGCGGUGCACUUGCUCCCCUCCGGGCCAGCAUCGGUUGGGACGGCGGGAUAAAGGUCCCGGGAAUGUGGCUCCUCUCGGGGAGUGUUAUAGCCCGGGUGAAUGCCGCCAGCCCCGACCGAGGACCGCGCCUUCGGGCUAGGAUGCUUGGCAUAAUGGUCUUCAGCGACCCGUCUUGAAACACGGACCAAGGAGUCUAACAUCUAUGCGAGUGUUUGGGUGUCAAACCCUUACGCGAAAUGAAAGUGAACGGAGGUGGGAACCCGCAAGGGUGCACCAUCGACCGGUCCCGAAGUCUUCUGAAGGAUCUGAGUAGGAGCAUAGCUGUUGGGACCCGAAAGAUGGUGAACUAUGCCUGAAUAGGGUGAAGCCAGAGGAAACUCUGGUGGAGGCUCGCAGCGGUUCUGACGUGCAAAUCGAUCGUCAAAUUUGGGUAUAGGGGCGAAAGACUAAUCGAACCAUGCUGGUUUGC